AAGACUAUACUUUCAGGGAUCAUUUCUAGAGUUUCUGACUUGAGGAAUGUGUUUCUAAAGUGUUUGGUCUUGCUGACUACGAUGAUGAGUCGUGAUAUUCCUUUCUGAGUGUGAAGCUGAGUAAUGCUGAGUAAUGAUUCACUUCAUAUGCUCUCUGUCAUUGAUGAUUGUUCUUUGCUUCUUUAUGGAGUGUUGAGGAAGGGAAUAUGAUCAGAGUGGU
Molecule: small nucleolar RNA, 220 nt
Organism: Etheostoma spectabile (orangethroat darter)
Lineage: Eukaryota; Metazoa; Chordata; Actinopteri; Perciformes; Percidae
Product: small nucleolar RNA U3
Exons: 1
Source: RefSeq, a predicted model, not a curated record